This 75-nucleotide small RNA is filed under the name Methyloceanibacter marginalis. RNAcentral describes it as "Makes More Granules Regulator RNA (mmgR)". It matches the Rfam family "Makes More Granules Regulator RNA (mmgR)". Rfam says of the family: SuhB later renamed mmgR (makes more granules regulator) was a putative non-coding RNA found multiple times in the Agrobacterium tumefaciens genome and related alpha-proteobacteria. Lineage: Bacteria; Pseudomonadati; Pseudomonadota; Alphaproteobacteria; Hyphomicrobiales; Hyphomicrobiaceae. The record is from Rfam by way of RNAcentral.
UGCCGCUGCCCUCCUUGGGCGUCUCCCUCAGACUUGGGCCGUUCGUUCAAUCGAACGGCCCUUUUUUUGUGUUUU